AGUUAAGAUUUAUCGCGAAUGUUGCAUCUUUAUAUUUUAAAAUAUGUCAAUCGGAUAUUUUGCAAAAGGGUAACAUCCUACAUUGAUUUUGUCAUAAAGAAUACAUCAAAGAGGAUUCAGGAAGUUUCACGUUGGUCUUUUCUUCCGAUUUAAUAAAUAGCACAAUCUAAAGGCCCGUUUAAACGAUCCAACAAUGUUGGACCAACAUCGUAUAACAUUAUUGGAUGCACAUUGGAUAAUGUUGGACGGUUGUGUUUAAACGAUCCAUUAACUUGUGUUAGGAAACUGCUCACUGGGGCCAAAAGCAUAGCAGGCACAGAAAUGAAGGCGAAGUAACUCGAUGAAUGAUGAAUUCUCUAUCUCCUCACUUCCAUAAAACGA
Molecule: long non-coding RNA, 381 nt
Organism: Xenia sp. Carnegie-2017
Lineage: Eukaryota; Metazoa; Cnidaria; Anthozoa; Malacalcyonacea; Xeniidae
Exons: 2
Source: RefSeq, a predicted model, not a curated record